GACGAACGCUGGCGGCGUGCCUAAUACAUGCAAGUUGAGCGCUGAAGGUUGGUACUUGUACCGACUGGAUGAGCAGCGAACGGGUGAGUAACGCGUGGGUAAUCUGCCUUUGAGCGGGGACAACAUUUGGAAACGAAUGCUAAUACCGCAUAAAAACUUUAAACACAAGUUUUCAGUUUGAAAGAUGCAAUUGCAUCACUCAAAGAUGAUCCCGCGUUGUAUUAGCUAGUUGGUGAGGUAAAGGCUCACCAAGGCGAUGAUACAUAGCCGACCUGAGAGGGUGAUCGGCCACAUUGGGACUGAGACACGGCCCAAACUCCUACGGGAGGCAGCAGUAGGGAAUCUUCGGCAAUGGACGAAAGUCUGACCGAGCAACGCCGCGUGAGUGAAGAAGGUUUUCGGAUCGUAAAACUCUGUUGGUAGAGAAGAACGUUGGUGAGAGUGGAAAGCUCAUCAAGUGACGGUAACUACCCAGAAAGGGACGGCUAACUACGUG
Molecule: ribosomal RNA, 496 nt
Filed under: uncultured bacterium
Lineage: Bacteria
Description: partial 16S ribosomal RNA
Rfam family: Bacterial small subunit ribosomal RNA
Source: RNAcentral